UACACUCCUACGGGAGGCAGCAGUGGGGAAUUUUGGACAAUGGGCGAAAGCCUGAUCCAGCAAUGCCGCGUGAGUGAAGAAGGCCUUCGGGUUGUAAAGCUCUUUUGUCAGGGAAGAAACGGUGAAAGCUAAUAUCUUUUGCUAAUGACGGUACCUGAAGAAUAAGCACCGGCUAACUACGUGCCAGCAGCCGCGGUAAUACGUAGGGUGCAAGCGUUAAUCGGAAUUACUGGGCGUAAAGCGUGCGCAGGCGGUUUUGUAAGUCUGAUGUGAAAUCCCCGGGCUCAACCUGGGAAUUGCAUUGGAGACUGCAAGGCUAGAAUCUGGCAGAGGGGGGUAGAAUUCCACGUGUAGCAGUGAAAUGCGUAGAUAUGUGGAGGAACACCGAUGGCGAAGGCAGCCCCCUGGGUCAAGAUUGACGCUCAUGCACGAAAGCGUGGGGAGCAAACAGGAUUAGAAACCCCUGUAGUCCCAUG
Molecule: ribosomal RNA, 476 nt
Filed under: uncultured organism
Description: partial 16S ribosomal RNA
Rfam family: Bacterial small subunit ribosomal RNA
Source: RNAcentral